UACGGGGGGGGCAAGCGUUGUUCGGAAUUACUGGGCGUAAAGGGAUCGGAGGCGGCCAACUAAGUCAGACGUGAAGUCCCUCAGCUUAACUGGGGAACUGCGUCUGAUACUGGAUGGCUUGGAUUCGGGAGAGGAAUGCGGAAUUCCAGGUGUAGCGGUGAAAUGCGUAGAUAUCUGGAGGAACACCGGUGGCGAAGGCGGCAUUCUGGACCGACAUUGACGCUGAGGAGCGAAAGCCAGGGGAGCAAACGGG
Molecule: ribosomal RNA, 253 nt
Filed under: uncultured bacterium
Lineage: Bacteria
Description: partial 16S ribosomal RNA
Rfam family: Bacterial small subunit ribosomal RNA
Source: RNAcentral